Molecule: ribosomal RNA, 440 nt
Filed under: uncultured bacterium
Lineage: Bacteria
Description: partial 16S ribosomal RNA
Rfam family: Bacterial small subunit ribosomal RNA
Source: RNAcentral
CCUACGGGAGGCAGCAGUGGGGAAUAUUGCACAAUGGGCGAAACCCUGAUGCAGCGACGCCGCGUGAAGGAAGAAGUAUUUCGGUAUGUAAACUUCUUUCAGCAGGGAAGAAAAUGACGGUACCUGACUAAGAAGCCCCGGCGAACUACGUGCCAGCAGCCGCGGUAAUACGGAGGGGGCAAGCGUUAUCCGGAUUUACUGGGUGUAAAGGGAGCGUAGGCGGUUUAGCAAGUCAGAAGUGAAAGCCCGGGGCUCAACUCCGGGACUGCUUUUGAAACUGUUGAACUAGAGUGCAGGAGAGGUAAGUGGAAUUCGUAGUGUAGCGGUGAAAUGCGUAGAUAUUAGGAGGAACACCAGUGGCGAAGGCGGCUUACUGGACUGUAAAUGACGCUGAGGCUCGAAAGCGUGGGGAGCAAACAGGAUUAGAUACCCUGGUAGUC